RNAcentral lists this ribosomal RNA (513 nucleotides) under uncultured bacterium. Its description in RNAcentral is "partial 16S ribosomal RNA". It matches the Rfam family "Bacterial small subunit ribosomal RNA", at positions 28 to 523 of the family's 1533-position model. The record is from RNAcentral.
GACGAACGCUGGCGGCAUGCCUAAUACAUGCAAGUCGAGCGAACAGAUGAAGUGCUUGCACUUCUGACGUUAGCGGCGAACGGGUGAGUAGCACGUAAGGAAUCUACCUAUAAGCGGGGGAUAACAUUCGGAAACGGGUGCUAAUACCGCAUAAUAUCUUCUUCCGCAUGGAAGAAGAUUGAAAGACGGCUCUGCUGUCACUUAUAGAUGACCUUGCGGUGCAUUGGUUAGUUGGUGGGGUAACGGCCUACCAAGACGAUUAUGCAUAGCCGACCUGAGCGGGGGAUCGGCCACCUUGGGACUGGGACCCGGCCCAAACUCCUGCGGGAGGCAGCAGUAGGGAAUCUUCCGCAAUGGGCGAAAGCCUGACAGAGCAAUGCCGCGUGAGUGAAGAAGGCCUUCGGGUCGUAAAACUCUGUUAUAAGAGAAGAACAAAUUGUAGAGUAACUGCUACAGUCUUGACGGUAUCUUAUCAGAAAGCCACGGCUAACUACGUGCCAGCCGCCGCAGUAA